RNAcentral lists this ribosomal RNA (104 nucleotides) under Cupriavidus taiwanensis. Lineage: Bacteria; Pseudomonadati; Pseudomonadota; Betaproteobacteria; Burkholderiales; Burkholderiaceae. The record is from RNAcentral.
UGGUGACCAUAGCGAGCUGGAACCACCCCUUCCCAUCCCGAACAGGACCGUGAAACAGCUCCGCGCCGAUGAUAGUGCGGAUUCCCGUGUGAAAGUAGGUCAUC